Long non-coding RNA from Felis catus (domestic cat), 1600 nucleotides. RefSeq lists it as uncharacterized. Lineage: Eukaryota; Metazoa; Chordata; Mammalia; Carnivora; Felidae. The record is from RefSeq and is a predicted model, not a curated record. The transcript has 2 exons.
UUUUCGCGCUUCUCAGUCCCUUCCCGUAAAAACCUGCGAGCCCUUUCUCACGCCGGACGACUCGGCGGAGCGCGCAGACCGGAUCACACGAUGACCGGUGAAGGGAUGCGGCGGCCCGACAGCGAGCUGGUCUGGGCUCGGGGAGGGUCCGCGGCCCCGGCGACCCUGGCUGGGGCCGGUCCUGUCACCCUACGUCCCAGGGCCGAGCACGGACUGAGACGCAGAACGUUGCUGGAGAGGACACCGCUGCGGGUCAGCGCGGUUAUGGAAGGCGUGGUGGUUGGAGGAGGUGGUUGGCGAGCCGUGAAAUUGGAUAACUUUGAGGAAAGGAAGAGAUCAUUUCCUAACCUGAGCCGAAGUGCAAAAACACAUGGUCGAGACACCCCGGCUGCUGAGAGUGCAGAAGACCAAUCUAAAUGCAAUGUAGUAUUUUAAUGCACGUGCAAGGAAAGCCAGAGGAGAGGAUCUUAAAACCCACCGGGACGCAAGGAGACUUCAAGGUGCAGGCAUCUGUACGCUGGGGGAUUAGGGAUGGGACCAGCCUGAUUCUCUAACAUGUAUGAGGCGUGGCUGAAGAAGGUGGAUUGAGUUUUUGUUGACUCGUAAUUUUACAAAGCCGAUACGAGGCUUGCAGGUUAUCCAGUCAAGGACCGGAGUGGCGAGGCAAUGGCUGAAAGAUGAGCCUACAUACAGUUCCCUCAAGCAUGAACCAGGAAGGGGUGCAAUCUACAUGGGGCAGAAGUGUUUUGUAAAUUCCUCUGAAGUCCAGAUUGAAGUUUUUGGUAACUCAUCUGCAUUGUGUGCUUAGAGUGAAGGCUGAGGCUGUAACUAUCUCAGCAAUAUGACUCAGGCAGGCUGAAUGCAGUGUAAGCAGGUUUCGGCAUCUUUCGCUUUUACGUUCUCUCUCACCCCCUCCCCAAAGACUCUAGAGGAAGGUUGUUAUGGGUUGAAUUGUGUUCCUCCAAAAAAGAUAUGUUGAAAUCCUAACUCCUGGUAUCUCAGAAUGUGACCUUAUUUGGAAACAGAGAUAUAGUACAUUAAAGUAAGAUGAAGCCAUAUUGGAAUUGGAGUAGGGUAUCAAUUUUUAAAAAAUAUUUAUUUUUGAGAGAGAGAGAGCGCACGAGCAGGGGAGGGGCAGAGAGAGAGGGAGACACAGAAUCUGAAGCAGGCCCCAGACUCUGAGCUGUCAGCCCAGAGCCGACACGGGGCUCAAACUCAUCAACCGUGAGAUCGUGACCUGAGCUGAAACCCAAGAGUUGGACGCUUAACCGACUCAGCCACCCAGGUGUCCCUAUCUGAUUUAUAAUAGAAGACAUGAAAACUAAAAUGACAAGCAGAUACCAUUCUCCUCAAUCAUUUAAAUAAAGAUCAAAAAGUUUUACUGCAUUGCCUUGAUGAGGGUGAGGUGUCCACAUGUUGGUGAAAAAUGUCAAUUGCUGCACGAAAGCACUUGCUAUAUCUAUUAACAAUGUAAAUACAUAUAUCCUUUGAUUGCACAAUGUCACUUCCAGGAUUUUUAACAAUAGACUAUUUUUCAGAGCGGUUUUAGGUUCACAACAAAAUUGAAAGGAAGAUACAGAAUUUCCCACCUGCCCCGUGC